ACACACACACUCCCCUGCAGGUUCCGGGCUGCUUGCUGUGCACUGGGGUUUUUCUUCCUUCAGCUCUAGCCCACCAGGUGCCCACAUCACAUGCACACGCGCGUGCAUAUUUGCGUGCAUGUGAGCAUGCGCAGGGGAGCGGGGGAGGACAACGACAUAUGCUGCCAUGAAUGCCAACACACGGGGGUCCCUGCAGCUCAUGACAGGUGCCUGAUAGAAGAGGUCGAGCAAAAAUAAUGGGAAAAUGAUGUGCGGCAAGAAAUGUGGGCUCCAGCUGUGACCACACCUCACAGGGACGGACACACGGACACAUGGACACACACACAGCAGCCAAGACGCUGGGAUCCUGUUGAGGAGAAGGAAGAGGCAGUGAAGCCUCCAGGGCCUCAGCCUUUUCCACUGCAGAUGGAAGAAAGGCUUUUCACAGCUGCUCAUCUGGGCCAGCCCAGCUGAAAUGGCUGAAAGGCGAGGAGCAGCAACUCCCCGGGGAGGAUGGGGUAAUGGUUUGCACCCGAGCCUGUGGAGGACGGAGUGAGCUGGCAGGGGGAAAGAUCAUCACAGCAUCCACCCGAGUGAGAGUCCACCCCGGGCCACUCCUCUGAGGACCACAGCACCUGCGGC
Long non-coding RNA from Heterocephalus glaber (naked mole-rat), 621 nucleotides. RefSeq lists it as uncharacterized. Lineage: Eukaryota; Metazoa; Chordata; Mammalia; Rodentia; Bathyergidae. The record is from RefSeq and is a predicted model, not a curated record.